CAAGAAAAAGUAAUARAGAGGGAAACAGCCCGGACCKCCGGCCAAGGCCCCAAAGCCAUGUURAGUGUAAAAUGAGGUGCGGAUGCGCAGACAGCCAGGAGGUUGGCUCAGAAGCAGCCAUUCCUUAAAAGAGUGCGUAACAGCUCACUGGUCGAGCAUCCGCGCGCAGACAAUGUAGCGGGGCUAAGCAUGGCGCCGAAGCCGCGGAUUCGCGCCUUAUGGCGCGACUGGUAGGGGAGCAUUCCGCUGACCCAUGAAGGCGCGCCCGCGAGGGGCGCUGGAGGAGGCGGAAGAGAGAAUGCAGGCAUAAGUAACGAAAAGACGGGUGCGAUCCCCGUCCGCCGGAAGCCCGAGGUUUCCAGGGUAAAGGCAAUCUGCCCUGGGUAAGCCGGCCCCUAAGGCGAGGGCGAAAGCCGUAGCCGAUGGGAAAUCGGUCCAUAGUCCGAUGCUUCCCCAUGUUUCGAGGGCAGGACGCAUGAGGCGAGGCCAGGCCGGAGAACGGUAGUUCCGGCCGGAGCGGCGAGGCGUCGAGGGCGGCAGGCAAAUCCACCGCCCGAGCCGAGCCGUGAGCGAGCGGAGAGAAAGUCGAAGCGAAGCUGGCGCAGCCAUGGUGCCGGGAAAUACUGUCUAAGUGCCAGGCAUGGGGGAACCGUACCGCAAACCGACACAGGUGGUGCAGGAUGAGAAAUCCGAGGCGCACGAGCGACCUCGCGUUAAGGAACUCGGCAAAAUGCUGCACGUAACUUCGGGAGAAGUGCGGCUCAUGUUAUAGAUGAUUAUUGAGCGGCAGAAAGCAGGCC
Molecule: ribosomal RNA, 800 nt
Filed under: uncultured Treponema sp.
Lineage: Bacteria; Pseudomonadati; Spirochaetota; Spirochaetia; Treponematales; Treponemataceae
Description: partial 23S ribosomal RNA
Source: RNAcentral